Molecule: ribosomal RNA, 253 nt
Filed under: uncultured bacterium
Lineage: Bacteria
Description: partial 16S ribosomal RNA
Rfam family: Bacterial small subunit ribosomal RNA
Source: RNAcentral
UACGGGGGGGGCAAGCGUUGUUCGGAAUUACUGGGCGUAAAGGGCUCGUAGGCGGCCAACUAAGUCAGACGUGAAAUCCCUCGGCUUAACCGGGGAACUGCAUCUGAUACUGGAUGGCUUGAGAUCGGGAGAGGGAUGCGGAAUUCCAGGUGUAGCGGUGAAAUGCGUAGAUAUCUGGAGGAACACCGGUGGCGAAGGCGGCAUCCUGGACCGACACUGACGCUGAACAGCGAAAGCCAGGGGAGCAAGCGGG